UACAGAGGGUGCGAGCGUUGUUCGGAAUCAUUGGGCUUAAAGGGCGCGUAGGCGGGUCAGCAAGUCAGGGGUGAAAUCCCACGGCUCAACCGUGGAAGAGCCCGUGAUACUGCUGGUCUUGAGGGAGGUAGGGGCGUGCGGAACUUCCGGUGGAGCGGUGAAAUGCGUAGAUAUCGGAAGGAACACCGGUGGCGAAAGCGGCGCGCUGGACCUCUUCUGACGCUGAGGCGCGAAAGCCAGGGGAGCAAACGGG
Molecule: ribosomal RNA, 253 nt
Filed under: uncultured bacterium
Lineage: Bacteria
Description: partial 16S ribosomal RNA
Rfam family: Bacterial small subunit ribosomal RNA
Source: RNAcentral